Cavia porcellus (domestic guinea pig) is the source of this 512-nucleotide long non-coding RNA. RefSeq lists it as uncharacterized. NCBI's taxonomy places the organism in Eukaryota, Metazoa, Chordata, Mammalia, Rodentia, Caviidae. The transcript has 2 exons. The record is from RefSeq and is a predicted model, not a curated record.
CCUAAGUGUUGUUGUCUGGAGCCGUUGGUUCUCCUGGAGGAGCUUGUCACUCUGGCCUUCCUGAUAGGAACUCAGCUGUUACCAUCUGAGGAGCUCAGGACCUUGUUGCUGAGAGUGGCUUUGGAGCACUUGGGGAGGCUCUGGUCCUUACUUUGAGGAUUGCUUCCUGGCUCUGGAGGUGAAGAGGGCAGCCCUGGCUCUUACCAUAAGCGUGACUUCUUGGCACUGGUGCAGAACCCUCGACCUACUCACAGCUCCUUCACCUGCUGGCAUAGACUUUCUGGCUUCCACUGCUAACCUGUGUGCCUUUCUAGUACAGAUCCAUGAAAGAGACUGGCAUGAGUCCUUCUUUUGGGCUCUAGACCUCCAGUUGGACUCAGGGGAGGCACUAGGUUUUCAUCUGGAUUCACAUAGGACAUUGCUGAGGGCUGGGUCUUUAGUGUUGUGGGCAGAUUUUCUGCCCUUUCUUGUAUUUAAUAUUAAGUGACCAUCAUAAAAAAUAUUAUAAAUUC